This is a long non-coding RNA of Asparagus officinalis (garden asparagus), 677 nucleotides long. RefSeq lists it as uncharacterized. The record is from RefSeq and is a predicted model, not a curated record. The transcript is spliced from 2 exons. Lineage: Eukaryota; Viridiplantae; Streptophyta; Magnoliopsida; Asparagales; Asparagaceae.
UUAACCAUCUGAUGUCUUUAGGCCGAGGAACAUGAGAAGAACAAGGCUGAUGAACAAACAGAAGACUCAGAGCCUACUGUUAUUGAUAACAGUGAGCAAUUCUCCUCUGAUGAAGAUGAAACUACCUCUCCAAAGUCUACACUCGUUUCUUCUUCCGAUGAACAUGAGGAAUUGAGAUUGAGAACCCAACAGCUCCAAGCUGACAAUGAUUUUAAACUGGGAAGCUCUUCUCUGCGUCAGGAAGUACCUAGGGUUGGUUCAUUCCCUAUCGUCAUAGUUGGGGUGGCUGUAUUUGUUAUAUUCCUGCUAUUUGCUGGAACUUUGGUGCUCUUGAACUCUUGUGCUGCCUGAGUAGACGGAGUGCUAUUUUCAUCACCACAACCACAUACAACAUGGUGAUCCUGAAGCAUUCAUGGGAGGAUAAAGGGUCAUUUUGAGAAAUUUCACUGUUCCAUUUGUAGUUCAAACCUUCUCACUCCUAGAGGCGUAGUUCUGAUAAGAUUUGUAUUUGAGUAGAUGGUUAUGCAAUAUUUUGCUUUGUUUGUAAUUUUUGUUGUUGUAUAUAGCUGUUUAAAGGAAGAAAAAGAAGAAAGAACGUGGCCAGAGUUGAGUGCCAAUUUCUGUACUGAAAAAAAUGCGAUUGUGUUUGCAAAGAGAAGCAGCCUUGUCAUAUUCUA